UGGAACAAAAGGUGGUUGAUGGGUAGGGGAAGGGGUUUUUGGAGGGUUUGGAGUGUAGGGAGGUUGAGAAAUAGGAGAGGGAGUGUUUGGAGGGGUUGGGACAUAAGGUUGGUUGCCAGGGGAAGGUGUUUUUGGAGGAGUGGGAACAUUUGGAGGACUAUAAGAAGGAGACGGUGUUUUUGGAGGCGUUGGAAUAUAGGGUGGUUGGUUACGAGGAGAAGGAGCAUUUGGAGGACUAUAAGCUGGAGAAGGUGUUUUUGGAGGAGUGGGAACAUUUGGAGGACUAUAAGAAGGAGAAGGUGUUUUUGGAGGUGUAGGAACAUAGGGUGGAUGGUUACCCGGGGAAGGAGCUAUUGGGGGGGCGUAAAUAGGAGAAGGUGUUUUGGGAGGUGUUGGAACAUUAGGAGGAGUAUAAACAGGGGAAGGAGUUUGUGGAGGAGUUGGAAUAAAUGGAGGAUGAUUAGUAGGUGAAGGUGCUUUAGGAGGAACAUAGGGAGGACUGUGAAUAGGAGAAGGUGUUUUUGGAGGGGUUGGAACAUAAGGUGGAUAAGGAAUUUUUGGAGGAGUUUGAGGAGGUGUUGGAACAUAAGGUGCUUUUGGAGGAGUAAUUGGAACAUAGGGAGUGUUUGGAGGUGUUGGAGGAUAAUAAGGAGGUGGCUCUCUCACAGCCAACACCACAAUAAUCAAUUUCUGACCCUUUUCACAAUUACCAUCUUUCCCACUAAUGAAGUAAAAUGGACCCGAUCGAUCAAACUGAAACUCCGAUUCACUAUCCUCAAACUUCUUGAUCGGGUUCUUCUUGUUACAUUUCUCAUA
Molecule: long non-coding RNA, 816 nt
Filed under: Glycine max (soybean)
Lineage: Eukaryota; Viridiplantae; Streptophyta; Magnoliopsida; Fabales; Fabaceae
Description: long non-coding RNA (GMAX_LNC002743)
Source: RNAcentral